This 46-nucleotide non-coding RNA is filed under the name Clostridium cavendishii. Its description in RNAcentral is "PreQ1-I sequence". It matches the Rfam family "PreQ1 (pre queuosine) riboswitch aptamer". Rfam says of the family: This family is a bacterial riboswitch that binds to the metabolite preQ1, an intermediate in the biosynthesis of the modified nucleoside queuosine from GTP. One example of this riboswitch is located in the leader of the Bacillus subtilis ykvJKLM (queCDEF) operon which encodes four genes necessary for queuosine production. Lineage: Bacteria; Bacillati; Bacillota; Clostridia; Eubacteriales; Clostridiaceae. RNAcentral also lists the same sequence under 1 other name. The record is from RNAcentral.
UUAGUAGAGGUUCAUGAACCAUCCCUCUAUAAAAAACUAGGACUGU